This 32-nucleotide transfer RNA is filed under the name Pelekium pseudoinvolvens. RNAcentral describes it as "partial tRNA-Phe". The record is from RNAcentral. Lineage: Eukaryota; Viridiplantae; Streptophyta; Bryopsida; Hypnales; Thuidiaceae.
AGGGCCGGAAUAGCUCAGUCGGUAGAGCAGAG